UACGUAGGGUGCGAGCGUUGUCCGGAAUUAUUGGGCGUAAAGAGCUCGUAGGCGGUGUGUUACGUCGGCCGUGAAAACCUGCAGCUUAACUGUGGGCGUGCGGUCGAUACGGGCAUCACUGGAGUUCGGCAGGGGAGACUGGAAUUCCUGGUGUAGCGGUGAAAUGCGCAGAUAUCAGGAGGAACACCGGUGGCGAAGGCGGAUCUCUGGGCCUUACCUGACGCUGAGGAGCGAAAGCGUGGGGAGCGAACAGG
RNAcentral lists this ribosomal RNA (254 nucleotides) under uncultured bacterium. Its description in RNAcentral is "partial 16S ribosomal RNA". It matches the Rfam family "Bacterial small subunit ribosomal RNA", at positions 524 to 776 of the family's 1533-position model. The record is from RNAcentral.